UAACCAGAGGUGAACGUAAGUAGAGGUAGCACUGUAGUUCUAUUGGAUUUUUAUUUAUACAGAUAUAUCCCCUGUCUUUUAAUGAUAAAAUCAGGUAUCCUGUGCUUCCUUCAGAGAGCUCAAAGCAGCCCACAUAGUUCUUUCUGUUUUUAUACUUGGGACAAUCCUAUAGGUUAGGCUGAGAGAAUGUUGCAACCCAAAGUCACUAAGUCUAAGUGGGAAUCUGAACACAGAUUUCCUUGGAAGCUAAGCAGGUUUUCUAGUGAUGCAGAGGAGGAUUUCAGGCAGCUGGAUCGCCUAUUGCCCUCCCACAAAAGCAGAAGUAAGUUGUGCAAAAUAAGCCGUGAUAACGCUUCAUUUUCAAGUGUCUCACAGAUUUUAGCUUUUCUUGAUGCGGCGUUCAUAUUAACUUGAGCAUGUUGCUUUAAUGUUAAAAAGCAUACAGAGCCCUGUCUAUGAAAGCUCAAACCCUUGUUUCAGCAGGAAGAUGUACAAUAGCACAGUGCUGAGCUGUGCACAGAAAUAGGCUCAGAUUCUAUAACACUGAAGGGUACAGUGGAGCAAAAAUAGUUCAGUUGUGAUUGGAUACCACAAGGAGACUGUAGAUCAAUGUCACAUUGGCAGCUCUAGUCUGCCGCAAGCAGUUGAAAGGAGAGAUAAGGGAACAGGUACAGAUACUUACUGCAGGUCCAGUAUUGCUAGAUGAGCAGUCUCUCCCUGGUCCCACUUGGUGUAACAAUCAAUAAAUAACUAUACAGCAAGAAUCCCACACCUGGUCAAUGCUGCUGCAGAGGUGCAUUUAUCGCAUGUGCUUAUGCCAAUUGUCUUUAGCAUUUUGGAAAAACUGUUUCUCAAGUUAAACGCAUUAAUAGGGACACCCCUUAAAUGUUUUAGCCCCAAAUCCUUAAAAGCUGUUUGUGCAACCGCAUUGGGCCUACCUUUAAAGAAUGACGUGAGGGUGAAGAUGGCCCCAGAUACACACUUUGGCACCAAAUGAUACCCCUUCGCACAUAGUAAAAAUGUCACAGUCAGCUUCAUUGUUGACUAUUUUUGCUCUCUCUGCUCAUGGUCCCCCAAACUGUGCUUACUGAGGUGCUCCCUACCUAAUGGUAAGGGACAGAAGGAUCAAUAGUGCAAUAUAUGCAUAAAGUCUUUUUAAAGACUCAGCAAAAAGUCACACCAGUGUGAAGAUCAAAUGUGAAUAAGGGAUCUUUUGCACAGCUGCUGUGGAACACAGUAGCUAUGGAAAAACCACAGGUGAUAUUCUGGUUCCCAACCUAUCGCCAGAUGGAUGUGGGUAGAGCACUGCAGCUGCUCGAGAGACAAAAUCUGCAUUAUGUUAGCAGUGUUUCUGCCACAGUGUGCAUGCUUCCAUUCACUCUCAGAAACUCUUCCUGUGGUAACCACAUGCCUGAUGGUUGUGUGAAGAGGCCUUGAAACACACCUGCAGGUGUACAUUGCAGCAAGUGUUGGAAUACGUCAGGAAAGCACAUGAAAGCUACCAAAAAAACCUCCAAACUGUGAAUGUUAUGCUUAGUGCUUAAGAACUCAAAGCAGUACCUUGCCAGCAUGGCAGCAUAGGGGUGGUGCUGAUACAUAGGAAAUAAGCUAAGAACCGAGGAAUUUAAUUAUGCAGCAUGUUAAACUGCAAAAUCGGUUGGAGUUUCUCUAGUCUAGUUAUUCAGGGAAAGCUUGGAACAAAACGUCCUUGGUCUUGCUUUUCUUUUUAUGGGACCAAAAGCACUGUCCUUUUCUUUGAGCACAAACUGUGACAUGACUGUUUAUAUUUUUAAUAUAGGAAAACAUUUUUUUUUGUUUUUAAUGUGGGUGACCCCUCCCUUUUCGUUAUAUAAAAAUGUACUUGAAA
Molecule: non-coding RNA, 1867 nt
Organism: Podarcis muralis (Common wall lizard)
Lineage: Eukaryota; Metazoa; Chordata; Lepidosauria; Squamata; Lacertidae
Source: RefSeq, a predicted model, not a curated record